Molecule: ribosomal RNA, 711 nt
Filed under: Paenibacillus sp. KF-14
Lineage: Bacteria; Bacillati; Bacillota; Bacilli; Caryophanales; Paenibacillaceae
Description: bacterial SSU rRNA
Rfam family: Bacterial small subunit ribosomal RNA
Source: RNAcentral
UGCAGUCGAGCGGGGUUGUUAGAAGCUUGCUUCUAAACAACCUAGCGGCGGACGGGUGAGUAACACGUAGGCAACCUGCCCACAAGACAGGGAUAACUACCGGAAACGGUAGCUAAUACCCGAUACAUCCUUUUCCUGCAUGGGAGAAGGAGGAAAGACGGAGCAAUCUGUCACUUGUGGAUGGGCCUGCGGCGCAUUAGCUAGUUGGUGGGGUAAAGGCCUACCAAGGCGACGAUGCGUAGCCGACCUGAGAGGGUGAUCGGCCACACUGGGACUGAGACACGGCCCAGACUCCUACGGGAGGCAGCAGUAGGGAAUCUUCCGCAAUGGGCGAAAGCCUGACGGAGCAACGCCGCGUGAGUGAUGAAGGUUUUCGGAUCGUAAAGCUCUGUUGCCAGGGAAGAACGUCUUGUAGAGUAACUGCUACAAGAGUGACGGUACCUGAGAAGAAAGCCCCGGCUAACUACGUGCCAGCAGCCGCGGUAAUACGUAGGGGGCAAGCGUUGUCCGGAAUUAUUGGGCGUAAAGCGCGCGCAGGCGGCUCUUUAAGUCUGGUGUUUAAUCCCGAGGCUCAACUUCGGGUCGCACUGGAAACUGGGGAGCUUGAGUGCAGAAGAGGAGAGUGGAAUUCCACGUGUAGCGGUGAAAUGCGUAGAUAUGUGGAGGAACACCAGUGGCGAAGGCGACUCUCUGGGCUGUAACUGACGCUGA